RNAcentral lists this long non-coding RNA (1537 nucleotides) under Felis catus (domestic cat). RNAcentral's name for it is "lncRNA (ENSFCAG00000053833.1)". The record is from RNAcentral. Lineage: Eukaryota; Metazoa; Chordata; Mammalia; Carnivora; Felidae.
AGCCCUUUAGAGCAAAUUUUUCCCCUUCUCUCGCAGCAGGAAUCCCGGGGCUCUGUGGGUGGGAGGACUCCUCCUCCCCAUGUCCUCUGACUGCCUGGAUUGUGUGUGUGUGUGUUUGUGUGUGUGUGUGUGUGUGUGUGUGUGUGUGUGUUUCUGGAUUAUGAUUUAUUUACUUAUUUAUUUAUUGCCUUUAUUUUAAAACAGGUAUCAGACUCCAGUAGUUGCCCAUUUAUUUUAAUUUAGAUACUGAGUGUUCUUCUCCAAAUCCUAAAGCCCAAAAUCUGCUGGCAGUUCAGGACGUGGCUCCAGCUCAGACUUCCCGGUGCAUCACCCACAGCAGACAGCAGGGCACAGGGCUCCCUCUUCCCAGUGGGACCUUCCGUCUUUCCCCUCUAUACAGCUUUUUCUCCCAGUCCCUACGGGGAGAAGUAAAUUCUUGGACACACUUUCCAAAGCCAAAAGCCAUGCCCAUGAGCUGUUCAUUCUGACUAUUCAUGGAGAGACACCAGGCAAUUGAAAUGAGAAAAUCCCACUGUGCCUCUGUGAGCCUUGGGGCUGCUGACUUUGGUGGCUUGAGUCCCAGGGUGCCAUUGUGGCCUCCGCCAGGUCCCCCCAGGGCCAGGACCUCUCCCGGCCAAGGUCAAGAAGAGGCUUUGACCUCUCUGAACCUCUGACCUCUCUGAACACCUCAUCUUACCCGUAGUCCUUUGCUUGAUGUUUAUUUUCCUGACCACACUCUACCUUCUGCAGGGCGUCCGCCACCCCCAUCCCCCAUCUGCCUGCUUCCUUCCCUGUUGUAUCAUAUCUCUGGUGCCUAGCCAAGAACCCAGCCCAUGGUAAGUGCCCCAAAAAUGUUUAUCCCAUGCCAGGAUGGACCCAGCCUUCUCUGUGCUGACUGCCCAAGGAGGAAAUGAAAUGACUCUGAACAUAAAGAGUAUCAAACUCAUGAAGAAGCGGACUUUUACCCCUUGGAGUUUCUAUUUCCAUGUGGCGACUUGUCUAUUCAUCCAGCUUCAAACGUACCUUCCCGGUGAGAGGCCCAAGUGUCUGGGCACAGCCUUUGGAAUGCUUGAUCAAUACCCACUCCGCAGAACAGAGCCAAAAGAAACAGGGGUCUAGGGACCAGCCCAGAGGUCUCAGAAUUGGCUUAAGGACCCUGGAGAUCUGGAAGAGCAUGAGAUCACAAAAUACAAUAAAAUCAUAAAACAUCAACUAAGCAGAAUAUGAAACUUGGUGCAGAAGAAGAAUGAAUAUUCUUUUUUAAAAAUUGUUUUUAUUAAAAAAUUUUUUUUAACAUUUAUCUAAUUUUUGAGAGACAGAGAGAGACACAGUAUGAGUGAGGGAGGGGCAAAGGGAGGGGGAGACAGAAUCCGAAGCAGGUUCCAGGCUCUGAGCUGUCAGCACAGAGCCUGAUGCGGGACUCAAACCCACGAACUGCGAGAUCACGACCUGAGCGGAAGUUGGAUGCUUAACCGACUGAGCCACCCAGGCACCCCAGAAGAAUAAAUGUUCUUCUGGAGAAUAGUAGGAACUUGCG